UGCAGGACUGGUCAGCAGCUCCUGAGCACCACGUUAGAGACCUGGGCUCUAAGCGAAGUACCAACUAAAGCCGGCGGCUGCUGCACUUCUGCCGUGGAGGUUUAGUUUGUCAGCAGGUUCCGUGAAAACCACAAGUAUUUAAGAGGAAAUGUUUUAAGACUGAGGCUACAGCAGCUUACUGUAGCUGCCUCCACUCUGUCCAAAGAAUAUUGUUAAAGGAGGUUUCCUGCCUGUCGGUACCUUUUACUGUGUGCCAGCGAUGCUGCCAAAGCGACGGAGCAAGCUGAUUCCCAAGGCCUUUAAAGAAGAAACCAUUCCAAAUUCACUGUUGGAGAUUAAUUUAUUUCAUAUUGACUUCAAGAACAGAAACAACAAGUUACUUAUGUACAAACAAACGUCCAGCACCUUGAAUAGAUGCUGCUCAUGGUGCUAAAUAUGGAGACAGUUCUUGACUCACCUCUGGCUUUAGGAAAGACACUAGACCAGUAAAAAAAAAUACAAAAGACCC
Molecule: long non-coding RNA, 508 nt
Organism: Betta splendens (Siamese fighting fish)
Lineage: Eukaryota; Metazoa; Chordata; Actinopteri; Anabantiformes; Osphronemidae
Exons: 3
Source: RefSeq, a predicted model, not a curated record